Molecule: long non-coding RNA, 660 nt
Organism: Oryzias latipes (Japanese medaka)
Lineage: Eukaryota; Metazoa; Chordata; Actinopteri; Beloniformes; Adrianichthyidae
Source: RefSeq, a predicted model, not a curated record
GAUUCUUUUUUCCUACCUUUACAAUUUGGUUUUUUAAAUCUUUUUUGUUUUAUUGAUCCUGGUUGUGCAACCUAAAACUCCAAGGGCCCUUGAAUGGCUCAUGGCAAAUCUGGUGAUGAGUCACAGGUGUGUGUGAUCAAGGUGGGUUGGAGUUUUGAUCCUUUAAAAAGGAUGAACAGCUGGACUUGGAGCGGAAAAAAGAGGCGCACUACAAGAGCUGCACAAGCAGUGUUGGAAUACCAGCGAUGGGAGCCACACGUGUGGUGUUUAGCAGCAGCAGCAGCAGCAGCAGCAGCAGCAGCAGCAGCAGCAGCAGCAGCAGCAGCAGCAGCAGCAGCAGCAGCAGCAGCAGCAGCAGCAGCAGCAGCAGCAGCAGCAGCGGUUGUGGUGCUUGAAGCAUGCCAGCCCCAGGAAUUGGACAUUGUAGAGUCUGGGCUCGGCCACAUGACCAGGGACAGCAAAGUGGAACCAGUGGAGCAUGGAACUGGAAAGUGGAGAGGGGACGCGACGAACAACAGCAGAGGGGUGUGGUUGCGACCCACCCCUCUUUCAGAUAAAUGGGGUUUGGACUGCAUGCUCCUCUAAUCAUCCUGGAGCAUUUGGACUGCUGGAGGCCGGACACUAUAGGACUGGACACAAUAAACAUUUUGAAAACUUGCA